RNAcentral lists this ribosomal RNA (253 nucleotides) under uncultured prokaryote. RNAcentral describes it as "partial 16S ribosomal RNA". It matches the Rfam family "Bacterial small subunit ribosomal RNA", at positions 524 to 776 of the family's 1533-position model. The record is from RNAcentral.
UACAGAGGGUGCGAGCGUUAAUCGGAAUUACUGGGCGUAAAGCGCGCGUAGGUGGCUAUGCAAGUCAGGUGUGAAAUCCCCGGGCUCAACCUGGGAACUGCAUUUGAGACUGCAUUGCUUGAGUAUGGGAGAGGGAAGUGGAAUUUCCGGUGUAGCGGUGAAAUGCGUAGAUAUCGAGCGGAACACCAGUGGCGAAGGCGGCCAACUGGACGAACACUGACGCUGAGACUCGAAAGCGUGGGGAGCAAACAGG